This is a long non-coding RNA of Anoplopoma fimbria (sablefish), 291 nucleotides long. RefSeq lists it as uncharacterized. The record is from RefSeq and is a predicted model, not a curated record. Lineage: Eukaryota; Metazoa; Chordata; Actinopteri; Perciformes; Anoplopomatidae. The transcript is spliced from 3 exons.
CAACACACUACAUAUGGUUCACUACACAACCUGCAGAAAUCUGACAUAAACUUACUUGUUGGCCAUUUAAAAACAACGCCAUCAAAAAUGCCACUACCAUGGAGCAUGGAUUUGCCAAUACACCCAAUCCCUUGAUUUUCAGCUCAUCAAUCAGGAUGUAAGCAGUACAAAGAGGCCAAAGAGCCAUGAUGAUUUGUUGAAGGCGUUGCCUAGCCGCACACAUAAGCCAAUCAGUUUGUUCUGCCUGGAUGACAUAGACUGAGAGGUCCAAGGGAUCACCAAGCUCCGAGC